AAGAACUUCUUCCGCGAGAUCGCA
Molecule: microRNA, 24 nt
Filed under: Glycine max (soybean)
Lineage: Eukaryota; Viridiplantae; Streptophyta; Magnoliopsida; Fabales; Fabaceae
Description: gma-miR4365
Source: miRBase by way of RNAcentral